Molecule: long non-coding RNA, 318 nt
Filed under: Capsella rubella
Lineage: Eukaryota; Viridiplantae; Streptophyta; Magnoliopsida; Brassicales; Brassicaceae
Description: long non-coding RNA (CRUB_LNC004886)
Source: RNAcentral
UUUUCUUUUAAAAUUUGAUAAAUAUAAUGCAUUUUUGUCAAUCAAACAAAACGAAUAGAGGAAUUAUCAAACACGUGAGAUGAUGAUUCACAAAACGAUCCAACAACAUAAUACAUUAUGGUCCCCAAUUUGAAACUUCCCGAUUAAAUUCGUAUUUGACGGUAGCUUAGCUUAGCAACUUCGAAAAAGACUUAAACCAUACGACCGAGGUCGAGGUGCAUUCACUAUAGUCCCCCCAUUACCAUAUACUAAUAUAAAUCUCACAACUCUCUUCAAAAAAAAAAACCAAAACUUUCAAUCACCCUUUUGUAGAAAAAA